This 253-nucleotide ribosomal RNA is filed under the name uncultured bacterium. RNAcentral's name for it is "partial 16S ribosomal RNA". It matches the Rfam family "Bacterial small subunit ribosomal RNA", at positions 524 to 776 of the family's 1533-position model. The record is from RNAcentral.
UACGGGGGGAGCAAGCGUUGUUCGGAUUUACUGGGCGUAAAGGGCGCGUAGGCGGCGCCGCAAGUCGACUGUGAAAUCUCCGGGCUUAACCCGGAAAGGUCAGCCGAUACUGCGGGGCUAGAGUGCAGAAGGGGCAACCGGAAUUCUCGGUGUAGCGGUGAAAUGCGUAGAUAUCGAGAGGAACACCUGCGGCGAAGGCGGCAUCCUGGACCGACAUUGACGCUGAUGAGCGAAAGCUAGGGGAGCAAACGGG